GCAGGACAGACGGCCGCUGCCGGCAGACCGAAAGGUGCCGGGAGAGGAAAGUCCGGGCUUCACAGGGCAGGAUGCCGGAUAACAUCCGGCGGAGGCGACUCCAGGGACAGUGCAACAGAAAUGUACCGCCGGGCCGUGCCCGGUAAGGUUGGAAGGGCAGUGUAAGAGACUACCGCCCGCCCGGCAACGGGCGGGGCAUAUGUAAACCCCAUCCGAAGCAAGACCGAAAAGGAGGCAUAUGGCGGCCCGUCAGCCUCAGGUAGGUCGCUUGAGCCUGCUGGCGACAGCAGGCCUGGAUAGAUGGCCGUCCGCGACAUAACCCGGCUUAUCGUCUUACUU
RNAcentral lists this RNase P RNA (339 nucleotides) under bovine gut metagenome. Its description in RNAcentral is "Bacterial RNase P class A". It matches the Rfam family "Bacterial RNase P class A". Rfam says of the family: Ribonuclease P (RNase P) is a ubiquitous endoribonuclease, found in archaea, bacteria and eukarya as well as chloroplasts and mitochondria. Its best characterised activity is the generation of mature 5'-ends of tRNAs by cleaving the 5'-leader elements of precursor-tRNAs. The record is from RNAcentral.